Molecule: ribosomal RNA, 653 nt
Filed under: Xylodon sp. LR-2015
Lineage: Eukaryota; Fungi; Basidiomycota; Agaricomycetes; Hymenochaetales; Schizoporaceae
Description: eukaryotic LSU rRNA
Rfam family: 5.8S ribosomal RNA (bases 250-403)
Source: RNAcentral
UGCGGAAGGAUCAUUAUCGAGUUUUGAAGUGGGCUUGAUGCUGGCUUUUCUGAAGCAUGUGCUCAGCCCCGCUCUCAAUUUCACUCAACACCUGUGCACUUUCAAAGUCGUGGUCCUCCGUAAUGGGAGUCGCUGAUUUAUGCUUGAAAGAGUUGUAAUCAGUUGGGACUGCACUUUGCCCCUUCAUCACAAACCAUUUACAUUGUCUUGUAGAAUGUGUUAGCCUCAUUUGUGGGUGAAACUUAAUACAACUUUCAACAACGGAUCUCUUGGCUCUCGCAUCGAUGAAGAACGCAGCGAAAUGCGAUAAGUAAUGUGAAUUGCAGAAUUCAGUGAAUCAUCGAAUCUUUGAACGCACCUUGCGCUCCUUGGUAUUCCGAGGAGCAUGCCUGUUUGAGUGUCGCUUAAAUCAUCAACUCCCCCCUUUUUAUUAACGUGAAGUGGGCGGUGAGCUUGGACUUGGGGAUUUGCUGGCCCAGUAUGUGGGUUUCUGGCUUCCCUUGAAUGCAUUAGCUGGAUCUCUUUUCGCAGCAUAUAUGCGGUGUGAUAAUAUCUUCACUGCUUCGCUCGAAUUGAAAUGUCUGGCUUCUAAUUGUCCUCUCGAGGACAAGCUUUGAUCAUUAAGACCUCAAAUCAGGUAGGACUACCCGCUG